Cephus cinctus (wheat stem sawfly) is the source of this 569-nucleotide long non-coding RNA. RefSeq lists it as uncharacterized. The record is from RefSeq and is a predicted model, not a curated record. Lineage: Eukaryota; Metazoa; Arthropoda; Insecta; Hymenoptera; Cephidae. The transcript is spliced from 4 exons.
AUGAAAACUAGCUUUUGGCAAUCUCCCUACUCAUCUCUGGUAGUAGCGCGCGAGGAUGAAAAUAACAUCGAAACAGAGGACAUACGCAAUUCGAGAAUAAAACGAAAGUGUAAGUCGCCAUUGCAUCGAGGAGCGUUUAUUGCGAACUCCAUUCCGUGGAGAAUAUUGACAACCGAUAACACUCGAUAAAACCGCAGCAUUAUGGCUAAAGGAAAAGGUGGUGGUGGAAAAGGUGGAGACAAAAAAGCUGCAGGUGCCGUUAGCGGCGCCAGCGCUAAUGCUAGUUCCGGUGGUAAAACAGCUGAAGUGAAACCUGAUGGGAAUGCUGGAAAGAAGGGCGGAAAGAAAGGCGGAAAGAAAUGAUGCAUACUGGAUCGCAGGAAAAUUUCAACAUAGAAUAAUAAGGGCGCGAAAAAAAUUUUUAAAUAUCAACAUUUUUCUUUGUCGCAUUAAAAUCCUAUUAGUUGCGCACAAAUUCAUCGAAUAUAAUGAUCAAUCAUCAAAUUCAACAACUGUUAAAUACGUAUUUGAUUAAAGCAGAAAAAAUAUGCUUAUAGCAUAAAAUCAUA